GCUCAGAGUGAACGCUGGCGGCGUGCCUAAUACAUGCAAGUCGAACGAUGAAGCUUUUAGCUUGCUAGAAGUGGAUUAGUGGCGCACGGGUGAGUAAGGUAUAGUUAAUCUGCCCUACACAAGAGGACAACAGUUGGAAACGACUGCUAAUACUCUAUACUCCUGCUUAACACAAGUUGAGUAGGGAAAGUUUUUUCGGUGUAGGAUGAGACUAUAUAGUAUCAGCUAGUUGGUGAGGUAAUGGCUCACCAAGGCUAUGACGCUUAACUGGUCUGAGAGGAUGAUCAGUCACACUGGAACUGAGACACGGUCCAGACUCCUACGGGAGGCAGCAGUAGGGAAUAUUGCGCAAUGGGGGAAACCCUGACGCAGCAACGCCGCGUGGAGGAUGACA
This 394-nucleotide ribosomal RNA is filed under the name Campylobacter sp. CH1755. RNAcentral describes it as "bacterial SSU rRNA". It matches the Rfam family "Bacterial small subunit ribosomal RNA", at positions 22 to 413 of the family's 1533-position model. The record is from RNAcentral. Lineage: Bacteria; Pseudomonadati; Campylobacterota; Epsilonproteobacteria; Campylobacterales; Campylobacteraceae.